CCGUAAACGAUGGAUGCUGGGUGUGGCGGGUAUAGAUUCCCUCCGUGCCGAAGCUAACGCGGUAAGCAUCCCGCCUGGGGACUACGGCCGCAAGGCUAAAACUCAAACGAAUUGACGGGUCCCCGCACAAGCAGCGGAGCGUGUGGUUUAAUUCGAUGCUACACGAAGAACCUUACCUGGGUUUGACAUGCAAGUAGUAGUGAAGCGAAAGCGGAACGACCCUUCGGGGAGCUUGCACAGUUGCUGCAUGGCUGUCGUCAGCUCGUGCCGUGAGGUGUCGGGUUAAGUCCCGUAACGAGCGCAACCCUUGCCCUUAGUUAUACGUGUCUAAGGGGACUGCCCGGGACAACUGGGAGGAAGGUGGGGAUGACGUCAAGUCAGCAUGGCCUUUAUAUCCAGGGCGACACACACGCUACAAUGGCCGGUACAAUGGGUUGCCAAGCCGUGAGGCGGAGCCAAUCCCGCAAAGCCGGUCUAAGUUCGGAUUGUGGGCUGCAACUCGCCCACAUGAAGCUGGAGUUGCUAGUAACCGCGCGUCAGCCAUAGUGCGGUGAAUACGUUCCCGGGGAUUGUACACACCGCCCGUCACGUCAUGGAAGCUGGCAACACCUAAAGCCGGUAUGCU
Molecule: ribosomal RNA, 625 nt
Filed under: uncultured organism
Description: bacterial SSU rRNA
Rfam family: Bacterial small subunit ribosomal RNA
Source: RNAcentral